Molecule: ribosomal RNA, 434 nt
Filed under: uncultured bacterium
Lineage: Bacteria
Description: bacterial SSU rRNA
Rfam family: Bacterial small subunit ribosomal RNA
Source: RNAcentral
AACGCGAAGAACCUUACCCAGGCUUGACAUGCAGUGGACAGCUUCAGAAAUGGAGUCUUCCUUCGGGACCGCUGCACAGGUGCUGCAUGGCUGUCGUCAGCUCGUGCCGUGAGGUGUUGGGUUAAGUCCCGCAACGAGCGCAACCCUUAUUGUUAAUUGCCAACACGUAAUGGUGGGAACUCUAGCAAGACUGCCUGGGUUAACCAGGAGGAAGGUGAGGAUGACGUCAAGUCCGCAUGGCCCUUAUGUCUGGGGCUACACACGUGCUACAAUGGCCGGUACAGAAGGAAGCUAAUCCGCGAGGUAGAGCAAAUCCGUAAAGCCGGCCCCAGUUCAGAUUGUAGUCUGCAACUCGACUACAUGAAGAUGGAAUUGCUAGUAAUGGCGAGUCAGCAACAUCGCCGUGAAUACGUUCUCGGGUCUUGUACACACGC